This is a long non-coding RNA of Rhagoletis zephyria (snowberry fruit fly), 443 nucleotides long. RefSeq lists it as uncharacterized. Lineage: Eukaryota; Metazoa; Arthropoda; Insecta; Diptera; Tephritidae. The record is from RefSeq and is a predicted model, not a curated record.
UCUGUAAACCACAUCAAAUUGAAGUAAAUAUAGCACUGCAGGAGUUACGCAGUUGAAAUUUUAAUAUUUUCAGUUGAAAUAUGGGUUCCAAUGAACGAGAAUCGCGGUCGUCAGAAUCACGUUCGGAUGAUCCAUUAAAUGACGGUAUGGUGCCAUCAAAGAGAUCUCGCUCGGAGUCGGGUAAGUGCAGUAAAUCAUUUAAAAUAAAUACCUAGUAUAUUAUCUUUUAAAGUAAAAUUUAAAAGCCAUAAAUGAAUGGAAACAGCAAAAUUUUAAAAUAAAUACCAAUGUGUGUACGUUUGCCACGAGGGUUUUGUAUGUUGCGGUUUGCUAGUUUUUUGUAACAAAAAUUGUCCAGUAUUUACAUGCUUGUGUUAUUGUAUUGAAUAUUAAGUAUUUUUAGUUAAUUAGCAGCGUUUUCUGAAUGGAGUAAAAUUGUUAGG